Molecule: long non-coding RNA, 3196 nt
Organism: Mauremys reevesii (Reeves's turtle)
Lineage: Eukaryota; Metazoa; Chordata; Testudines; Geoemydidae
Exons: 3
Source: RefSeq, a predicted model, not a curated record
GCUUCAGCUGAACUUUAUAUUGUUGUUAAUAAAGCCAAAACUCCAGCAAGAAGCUGAGAUUUGUCUCUUUGCAUAAAUUCUGAUUUAGAGCAGGUUGGGAAAGCCUCCUGCUCAGUUUUCCUGCUUCUCUUGAGUUAAAGUUGUGCGUUCUGUAGCUAACCCCAAUAUUCCAUCAAAAUUGGUGUCUGCCUCUUUCACUAGCUGCCAGGGGAACAGCUUGGCAGUUUCAGGUGCAUGCCCUUGAGUAGCUGCUCUCCGCAACAUCCAGCCGGCUCAGACUGGGAGGCGGUGUGGUUCCCCAAUGCCUCGGAGAGGGACAAGCUCUGCCGGACACCAGAAUGGGUGGAGCCAGAGCACUCCAAGCCCACCCUCCAGCGAGUGAGAGGCUGGACAGGAAGUAUAAGAGCUCAACCCCAGAGCUCACUCGAGAGGCAGCUGCUGGAGAGGCCAGACACCUCCAGCCCAGCUCCCGCGGGGCACACUCUAGCAGCCAGCGGUGGACCUGGAGACUGCUCUGACCAGCCAAUACUUGACACGGACCCGCGUGUGGGAGAGUCGCUGAGCCUACCUCAAGGAUCCAGUGGUGAUCGGGCCCCCCCCUGAGGACACCACCUUGACCCAGAAAAUUCAAAGGAUGGACAUCACCACGCUGGAGGGCUAGCACUCUGGGGAUUUUCCUUUUUAACCGGCUUUAUCACGACAUGCAAGGCUUCUCCAUAUUGACACUGAUUAAGUGUAGUGGAAAAUAUGGAUCCAGAAACAUUUUUUUCCUCCUAAGUGCAGCUGAAAGAGUUAACCAGCUUCCUACAUCAGCCUAUUUUUCACUGCAUUCACUGAAACUACUCUAGGCAUUGCCAAUCAGCAACACAGUGGAAGAAAUGACUAUAGCAGAUGAAUGUGAGGAAAUCCUUCUGGCAUUGCAUCUGUGCCACUAUAUUCCUCACUUAGACAUGCAACUUUGAAAAACUUAGCAAGCAGCUGAUGUCCAUCAAGAUUCCUUCUGUCUGUGAGUAAGUUAGUGGGCCAAAUCUGGAAACAUGUUAUAUGGGAAAAUAAUUUGCUGCUGCAUAUGUACAUUAAUGUACAUGCAAAUCUCUCUAGUUCUGGUAUAGUUUCCUUGUUACUGCAUUAUAUUCCAGGAUUUCUUCUUGCUUUUAGAUAUGACAUACAUAUUAUAAAAUUAGCUAUGUGCAGUCAUGUGCUUUGUAAAAUACACAGCCCCAACCAACUUUUACUUAAAAAUAUAAAGCCCGUUAUCAUUAAGCAUCAUUUUACAGCACACCCCCAAUAAUGUCCAAGAACAGUGUCUCCUAACUGCUCCUUCAGGAACAGCACGCAGGAGCACAAGCCAUUUUGGGUCCCACCGAACUAGUGGCUCUGGUACUGUUGUGGGGUGGGAGGACUUCAACAUUUUCUCAGCAGUGGUGGUAAGCUAAAAACCAAACAAAGAAGUAAACAAAACAAAUAAGAAAACCUUGACUAACCAACCCAACUUCAAUCCAGAAUCUCAGUAUAACAAAAUCAGAUAAUGUAAAGGUACCCUGGGGGUAUGCAAGACCUCUCUGGAGGGUACACAGGAGAAAUUGUGUGAUGGAUUUUAUUAAUAAUUUUAUUGCAUUUUCAUAAUAGGCUACUCAGAUGAAGCUUUAAAACUCCAUGGGAACUUUUUAUAUAAAAUGUGGAAGUUAAUUUACUUCAGGAUGUACCAAUGAGAACACAGAUACGCGGACGUACAGAGCCCUCCCCUCCAAUCACUGUGCAGUGUGGGUUUAGUUGCCUAGAAACUGUCCAGUCUAACUGAGUUCAGAACUUAAGGUUUUUUCCCCCUGGUUGUAUAUGUCGCACUGUAACUAUCUAUAUCUGUAAGUAACUGUGAAAUAUGGCCAGAUAGCUAACGACGGAUAGUGUGGAGAAGAACACUCAAUAUCCAUGAUGAGAAGGGUAUGGUAGAUCUGAAAGGCAGCUGGUUGAUCUGGAAGGGGGUACGCAAUAAGAAAAGUCUGGGAACCUCUGUAAUGGGAUUGUGUUGUUAUAAGUGGAAACUUUGUUAGACUCUAACAAGUUAAAGGCAAGGCAUGUUAUAUGCCUCAACAGAUUGUCUCUUCAACAUUUUCAACCAUAAAUAAUUAGUUUACAGCGGUGAUUGUUCAGUAGGUUCUUUCUCUUGCAGUAGAGGGUAUAUUGAAGAAAAGCAGUCUGUUGGAUGCAGAUAAGUAUUUGCUGAAAGUCAGUGUAAGGUAACAGCAAAUUGUUCAGAGGCCUCCACUAAAGCUGAAUUUGAAUUACAGUUGGAGUAAAACCUGCAUGUUAAUGGUGGGUUUUUGCUCACAGCAAUGUAUAUUUUAACUACUCUUUAAAACUAAAAGAUUUGACAAAUGAGAUCAUGUUUCACUACUGGAUUAUAAAUCUAAAGCAAAUUAUGUGUAACCUGAAGAGCACAUAGUGUGGGGUUUUUUUGGACAGCGCCCCAAUAAUUUUUGUAGCAAAUGGUUGUCUUCUACCCAGUCUAGAAUAAUAUGCAUGUGUCUUAAUGAUGAAUGUGCCAAAUACUGUAGUGCUAAUCCAUUUUUUCCUUCUGUUAUUGUGAGACAGACAAUUACUCCUCUGUCUAUGGUUUUAGUUAGGUUUUUUCAGCAGAAGUGGUUUUGUUGCUUUGAAACAGAGGCACAGAGAGGUCAAGUGACUUGCCUUAGUGUGUUGUGCACUAACUGGCCCUGUAGACCUUGCUAUCGCUCAGUAAAAGUUCCCUAGUGUGUGUUGAUGUGGCACCGUUUGAAAUGGGACUGUCAGCAUGCCCUGGGGAACUUUUAGUCUGUGCCUGUAGGCUCCAUGUGGCCCAUUAGUGCAUGGCAUGCCAGUACGCGCUAAAAGUUGCACCCCGGUUGACGAACUAAUGUACCUUGUAGGCAACCCAGAAAUACAACACAACACAGCACCAUAACACAAACCUCCACCACUUGAACUAAAAAGGGAACUCUGUUAGCAGUUGUCAAGGGUGUGCCUGCUGCUAGCACCCCUUGCUGCCGAAGUGUGGCUCUGCUGAGGCCUGUCUCAAUUUCCUUUUCAAUCAGAGCCCUUAAAAAGUCAAUAUAGUCCAGAUAUUCGAAACAUUCCCCUUUCUGAGGUCCGGUUUAUUAAUCCUUAUCAACAUUCAUGGGGUAAUAUUGUAUCCUAUGAACAUAUAUGUUUGGAUAAC